This 216-nucleotide ribosomal RNA is filed under the name Glomeromycotina sp. RNAcentral's name for it is "partial small subunit ribosomal RNA". The stretch from base 87 to 216 matches the Rfam family "Eukaryotic small subunit ribosomal RNA", at positions 733 to 864 of the family's 1831-position model. The record is from RNAcentral. Lineage: Eukaryota; Fungi; Glomeromycota.
GGGUCAGUAGGUUGGUCGUGCCACCGGUACGUACUGGUCUCACUGAUUCCUCCUUCCUGAAGAACCGUAAUGCCACUAAUUUGGUGUUGCGGGGAAACAGGACUGUUACUUUGAAAAAAUUAGAGUGUUUAAAGCAAGCUAACGCUUGAAUACAUUAGCCUGGAAUAAUGAAAUAGGACGAUCGAUCCUAUUUUGUUGGUUUCUAGGAUUGACGUA